UGCUUCUCCAGAGAGCCAGCUGUGCCCCUGACAGUCCCCUUCCAGCCCAGAGCCAGGGUCUGGUCACAUUCAGUCACAUUUAAUCCAUUAGCUAAGGGGACGGGGUGUCCUGGCUUCCAGGAGCUCAGAGUCUUCUGCAAGACAACAGAUGUGUGCGUUAAGGUCUUCAGGAAAGCGACACACGCAGCCAUGGCCUCCUGUGACAACAGCACCUCCUCUGGCUCUCUCCUGAAGGCCUGCCUGAGGCUGUUCCACAGUUAACUUGGCCUUUUAAAGAUGCUGUUCCCAGUCCUGCUAGGGGCCACUGUGUCUGGCAUACCUGUGGACCUCCCAGACCCACCUCCGCAUGUAUGAUGCACAGUCAAAGUGUAAUUCAUACCGGCAGGAGUGAAGAUGCACUAAGGAAACGCGUGGCCUCCUUUUUGUUACUAGACUGUCGAGACCAUGGCCCCCAGGAAAUUACAAUUCCCGCAGGAAUCUCACGCAGGGAGAAACAAGAGGCUGAAUCCUGAUGCCAGCCAGAGGCAAAGCUUGUCUCCAGGAAAGAGGUUUCGGUACAGUUUCGGAAGCUCGUUUGGCCACCUUGAAGAAGAGACUAGAGUCCAUCAUUGGUGGGCCAGUGAUAAAUAGGGCUGUACCCCACCAGGAGCGCCUACUGGAUAAAUAAUUUUCCAAAUGAAUUGCCUUUCUCUUUGCUUCACUAUUACUUUGUCUGUUGAAUUGGCCUAUUGCGCAUGGGUGGCCCAAGCUCUGGCCCUAACAAAAUAACCCCGAGUCUUCCAGGUCCAGCCCUCCCAAGUCUGCUUUCCUGCAUCUGGGUCAUCAUUAGUCUCUCCCUCUUGUCUGUGCCCACACUAUUUGUGGAACUUCAGUGUAGCCCUGACUCAUCUGCAUGUGUCUUCUCUCCAGCUGGUGGGCCCUGCCUCCUUGUGGGGGCUGUUUGCUGAGCCAGCCUGAGACAGCAAGUAUCUGUGAGGUGCCAGGCGCAGAGCUAGGUAUGGGCUUCCUCAUACGCCUCCACUGAUGGGGAAAAGGGCCCUGUUACUAAUGGCCUCUGAAAUGAACAGAGCCAGGGCCCAGAGAGGUGAAGCCAUAUACCCUGGGCACCCUGCUCAGCUGUGGCCCUGAGGUCUCAUUCCAAGGCCACCAGAUCCUGUAGUCGAGUUCUCUUGGGACCUCAGGAGCUCAUCAGGCCCAGUUUGUCAGUGGGUACCAAUCGUCCGGCUCCUGUAGCAGGGCUGAGCCCUGAGCUUAUGUGACUACACACCGUGGAUGUCUUGUGCUUUGGCUGCAUCCAGGAGGAUGAAGCAGGGGUGGAAAAGAAGGCCCAGCUAGCACCAGGCAGGUCCAUCUCACCUUGAUGUAGGUGAAGGAAUCUGUGACCCGAGGGAGGCGGUAGUCCCAAGGGCUGGGGCCUGAUCUGCCCCUCUCCAGACCCAGAUGACCUGACUGUUUCUCCUUCCUAGCUGGGUCUUACACUGCCCUUUGUGUGCUACAUCUUCCCUCAGCGGGGCCUGUCUUCCAGGGUGGCAUGUCAUGUGCCCCCCAAUACCACCACCAGAGUGCAUGCAAAGAGCCCCACUUCUCAGAGUGCUUCCUGCUGGCUGGGAGUCACGUCAGUCACACUUCAGCAGGCAGGGACAGAGCCAGAUGCAAGCCCCAUCCUUCCAGGCUCCCUGGAUGGGUAGCCAUCUUGCCUGCCCUCCUUCCUCCUGAGCCCCCGAGCCUUUCUUGAUCUGACCACAGUGUUCCCUGGACUCACCUGCUCCACCUGCCUUCUUCCCAGGCCAGGGAGCAGCCUGUGAUUUUCCCUGUCACAUGUCCUGGCUCCACCACCUCCUGCCCACAUGUCUGCAGCUCUACUCUUCCUGUGACCUGGCCCCUGCUAGCUGUCCCCCUGUCACGUGGACCCCGAAGCAGCUAACGACAGUAACAAAACCAACAGGCUUCCUUUCCUGCCUUCCUUCACUGUCCCCACGGGCACUUCCUUCACGAUCGCCGCCCUCAGGAAUCCCAGUCAAGUCCUCUCCACUUUUCCAGCUCCCUUCACUUCUCUGUCUGAUCUCAUCAUCAACUUGAU
Molecule: long non-coding RNA, 2080 nt
Organism: Peromyscus leucopus (white-footed mouse)
Lineage: Eukaryota; Metazoa; Chordata; Mammalia; Rodentia; Cricetidae
Exons: 4
Source: RefSeq, a predicted model, not a curated record